Long non-coding RNA from Lathyrus oleraceus (garden pea), 1023 nucleotides. RefSeq lists it as uncharacterized. Lineage: Eukaryota; Viridiplantae; Streptophyta; Magnoliopsida; Fabales; Fabaceae. The record is from RefSeq and is a predicted model, not a curated record. The transcript has 3 exons.
AUCCAUACUAAAUUAUUUGUUUGGUGUGCUUGAUGGGCUAACUUAUGAAAUAAUUUAUUAUUGGCCCUAUGAAUAAAAACCAUUUUACGAUUCCUAAAUCUAUUUGUGACAUUUGAUGUUGACGAAAGUGUGAUGAUGAAGAAUCAUGGAGUGAAGAGCGAUAGGAGAAAGCGAUCAAAAUGUGAACAGCUUGGUUCGGUUUGUGAUGGAGGUUGAAGAAUUGGUUCAACGGGUCGGAGUGAAGCUGCAGUUUGGUUGAUAGAGAUUGGGAGCUCUUAACGGAUUUCUAUUAGCAUCUCCUUUCCAAAUUCCAUUUUCAGGUUUGAACGGGAGAUUGCCGGAGGGAGGUCAGAAGCGGUUGGAAGCUGUUAUAGACUUAUCGAGAAGUUUGGGUUUUAGUGAGCAGGAAUUGGAAUGAAGUUUCUAUUUUUGACUUCUGUUUCUCUUUCUUAUAAUAUUCAAAUUGGUUAUUGAUAGCCACGGUUGACAGAAACCCACACUGCUUUUGUGUAGCUAUGAAAUUUGGUCUUUUAGCCUUUUACACUUCUGACUUUAUUUUACAGGUGAGCUGCGGUCUGAACGCGUGCAGUAAGUCCUGCUUUGUUGCACUGCUGGUUUUGCAGGGUCUAUCCCAUAACGACAGUUAAGCCUUGAACUGAGCGACGCGGAAUCUUAGACCACGGCGUAGGAGUUCCAGCUUGUGAGAUGGUUCGCCGCUUGUAGCAUGGUUCUGUCUUGGUUAAUUGCAGGUGACUUCUUUUGGCUCAUGUGUUGAACUUGGAAGCUAAUGACACCAAUGUUGAACUUGGAAGCACCAUAAUGGAAAAGAUUCAAGGGCCAAUUAAAUCUCGGGAUUUAGGACUAGGAUUUGGAUAAUUCGGGUUGACUUUGGUCAAAGUUGACCAAAGUCAACAUUCAGUCAUAAAUGCGAUUUUUUUUUAAAUUUCCAUGUAAUGAACAAUGUAUGAUGGAUUGUAAUAAUGUAAUUGAUCAUUUGAAUGGAAUAAAACACUUUGAAUGAAA